This is a non-coding RNA of Cajanus cajan (pigeon pea), 203 nucleotides long. Lineage: Eukaryota; Viridiplantae; Streptophyta; Magnoliopsida; Fabales; Fabaceae. The record is from RefSeq and is a predicted model, not a curated record.
AUUUCAGUUGUCAGUUUUAAAGCAAGAAAAGGAAGUCAUAUCAAAUGCUGAAAAAAGAGCAUCUGAUGAAGUUCGCAGUUUAUCUGAAAGGGUGCUGCGUUUGCAGGCUAGUUUGGGUACCAUACAGAGUACUGAGGAAGUUCGAGAGGAAGCAAGAGCUGCAGAGAGGGUUAAACAAGAAGAAUAUAUAAAGAAAUUGGAGG